CCUACGGGUGGCAGCAGUAGGGACUUUUGCGCAAUGGGCGAAAGCCUGACGCAGCAACGCCGCGUGAACGAGCCGCCCUUCGGGGUGUAAAGUUCUGUCAGUGGGGACGAAAAAUGACGGUACCCACAGAGGAAGCACCGGCUAACUCCGUGCCAGCAGCCGCGGUAAUACGGAGGGUGCAAGCGUUGUCCGGAAUCAUUGGGCGUAAAGAGUGCGUAGGCGGCAUGUAAAGUCAGCGGUAAAAUUGCGGGGCUCAACCCCGUCGAGCCGUUGAAACUGGCAGACUUGAGUUGGCGAGAAGUACGCGGAAUGCGCGGUGUAGCGGUGAAAUGCAUAGAUAUCGCGCAGAACUCCGAUUGCGAAGGCAGCGUACCGGCGCCAGACUGACGCUGAGGCACGAAAGCGUGGGGAUCGAACAGGAUUAGAUACCCUAGUAGUC
Molecule: ribosomal RNA, 439 nt
Filed under: uncultured bacterium
Lineage: Bacteria
Description: partial 16S ribosomal RNA
Rfam family: Bacterial small subunit ribosomal RNA
Source: RNAcentral